Molecule: long non-coding RNA, 1799 nt
Organism: Sorex araneus (European shrew)
Lineage: Eukaryota; Metazoa; Chordata; Mammalia; Eulipotyphla; Soricidae
Exons: 4
Source: RefSeq, a predicted model, not a curated record
GAGCUGGGGUUCAGUGGAGAAACUCCCUGCGAUGAGCCACUGGGGUCAUGCACAGGGAACUUUUUGAUGAGCGCUGAGUGGCUGGAAAGUCCUCCCGGCCAGCCCCCUCCCGGUACUUCCCUGCAGCCUGCACCCGGAAAGCAUGGUGCUUUACAGUAGAGCUGGUUGGUGCUGUGCAAUAAUGAAAUCAUCCCUGAGACCCUGAUGGUUUUGCAUGGUGCUGCUGCAGAAGCCAGAUCCCGAGUGUGCAUCUGGAAGCACAGCUGGGCAACUUUCCAGGAGUGUUUGGCGCAGAAGACUGAGAAUGGAUAUUGGAUCCUUGCAAGCUUGUAACUCUCAUCUGUGGUCCUCAUAAUAUGGCGGUUGCCACGCCCUUCACCCCCGGCAAGGAAAAAGGUCAGAGUCUGGUCCCAUGACUGUGACGGGCUCCCUGUGGAAAAGUCACAGCCUGACUCAGGAAUACACAUCAUUUCCCAUCCCCGAGGGCUGCGUCGGGGCCACAAGGUUAGCAACAGAACACGGAUACUUUUCUAAAGGAAAGGUAGAUGAACACCCCACGUCUCUGGUUGCUGCUAUGUGAAAAUUCUCUGCAAUUUAGCAGAGAACUUAGAAGCAUGUGAGAGGACAGGGGAGCGCCGCUAAGAUCAUGGACUGAAACCAGGAGGCUGAAGGGCAUGUGGGUGGGGUAGCAGCACGGACUCAUCAUGCUCCACCAUGCAGGAACCCCAGGGUGCCAGGAAGAGCAGCUAGAGCUGAUCCACAACCUUGGCUCUGCAGCGUGGAAGGGUGGAGGUUCGCCUCCAGGCGGCCAGAGCCCCAGGACAGUCAGGGAGAGAGAAGAGGGCCAUUUGCUGGAGACAGAGUCGCCCAUGGGCUGAGCAGAGCAGGGAGUCCGGCUGGGGGCCACCGGCGCACUUUCUUCCCCUUGACCUUUGCCCGAAUCUGGGCACCGAGAGGUCUGGAUCGUGUUGUCUGCAGCGACACCUGCAGGCCAGCUGUGGAAUAGCGGUACUCUGAGGACUCCUCAGGUCCUAGAAAAAGUUGACUUGAGCACUUGCUGAGAGAGCGGAUACUCGUUUUACGACUCGAGCUGCACACCCGGCACAGUGUCAGGGAGCACCCCGCACUAUCCUGGAAGCACCAGCUCUGCUCCUCCCAUGCCCACAAUUGGUCCACGUGCGCGCAGGCCUCAUGUGUUUGUUAUUUAUGCUUUUUAUGGACUCUCCCCAAAGAGAAGGAAUCCGGAGUUCUGACCUCCGUCCAUGAUCGAGGAUCAGGAACGCUGUCUCAUUUGCCAAGGCGUUGGAAAUCAGAUGGGCCGGACACAUAAUGCGAUUUGGAGAUGACUGCUGGACUAGCACUGUUACCAACUGGAUUCCACAGGACGUUAAAAGAACGCCUGGCUGGCCACCUACAAGAUGGUCAGACUUCUUCGUCAAGACCCUGAAUGAACGGUUUGAGGCUCUUUGUGUUCCUGGAGCGAGCAGACGCCAUUGGGCUACACUAGCACACGACAGGGACAAAUGGAGAUAUCACUGGCGUCAGCUCAAACAAAUCAAUGAGCAACGGGAUGACAAGUGAUACAAGUGAUGGAUUCUCCCCAGGGCCUGUGUGUGAUAGACUUUAUGCUCUUUAAUCCUCACCAUCUCUCUGAUAGGACAGUCUCAUGAGCUCAGAAACUCAAAGCUCAGAAAGGUUCAGAAAGCACCUGAGUGUUCCAGCCCCUCCUGCUUCCUGCACACGUUCAGAUCUUAAACAAAUUCAGAGGUAGGGGCAUAAACCACAGAUUAAAUUUUCUA